RNA transcript from Salvia hispanica, 2040 nucleotides. RefSeq lists it as uncharacterized. The record is from RefSeq and is a predicted model, not a curated record. Lineage: Eukaryota; Viridiplantae; Streptophyta; Magnoliopsida; Lamiales; Lamiaceae.
AAUUGGGGAUUGGUGAACAUUCACAAGUUUUUGCUUCGUGUUAUUCGUUUCUGCGUAUUUUGGAUUUUACACGAUUAGCUUCGGCAGUUUGAAACAUUUAGGCUCUGAUAAGUUUGAAUUACAACAAUGUGUUUGUGCAAAGUUCUAACUAAGAUAUUAGUGGAACACAUAUAUAAAAUGCUUGUAUCUGAUCACUUGAUUGAAAUGAGGACAAGUUUUAGAGAUAUUUGGUAUCUAAACGCCUAAAUGUUGGUAUCUGAUCUCUCCAUUGGCACGACUGGAAAUUACUUUAAUUUUUUUGCUCGGUUGAGUAUUUCUUAGGUUGUAGUUGGAGAGGGAAUGUGGAUUAGGAGACAGGUUUAAAAGGAACGCGUAACGGAAGUUUCGAGUAUUGAAUUGAGUGUUUUCAUCGUAGAGGAGAACGAGGAGGAAGGAGAUGACAUCCUCUGUUCUUCAGCAAGUUUGGUGCAUAUUUCGGAAUUUGGAUAGUUGUGAUGGGUGAUUCUGUAGUUAUCUUUACAGUGUUAAGUCAUCACGGAUUCACAAUCCAACCGGAGGACUUAUAAUUGAUCAACUUAAAAAGAGGGGGAGAAUGUGGAAGAUUAGGUGAUUAUAUUAAUUUUGAUGCAUUGUAUAAAAAUCUUACUACUAAUAAACUUAUUUCUACUAGAAGAUUCAGGAUUCAGAUAAUGAGUGACAGUUAUGACAUUUAGACCUGAUUUGAAAUUAUUGAAACAUUUGUACUAAUCUUUAGACUGGGUGUCAUUCUAAGUUCUAACAUAACAAAGACAAUAACAAUCUGAUUGGAACUGUAACCACAUCUGAUCUUAGCCAAAAAGGCAAAGAAAGGACAAUCAGAUUAGUGAAGUAUAGAACAGAGAAAAUUUAAUCUAUUUGGAUAUGAAGUAAAUAUAUUAGUAUGUAUGAUCCAUGUUUUUGGUACAGUUUUAACAGCUUAAUAUGGUUAUAACCCAACUGUUUUUCAUAGCUAAGGGUAUUUGAUAGUACUGUAUCUAUCUGUGGAUCUGGAACUUCAACAAUAUCAGUUUGAUGCUGAACAAUAUACUAACAUUUCUUACCAUGAUUAGUUAAUUGCCUUGUUCAAAUGCGCAAUAAUGUGAUGCAAUCUUACCCUUCAAGUUUUCUUUGAUCAGGAAUAUAGUGCAAUUGAACAAGGUGAAUUCUCAUUAUGAGAACAUCAUUUUGCAGUAGUUUUGUGUGUAUGACUUGGAAGCUUUUUCUUAUUUACAUGCUUGAGAUCAGUUUUCAGGAGAUCUGGAAAAGACAAUUUGCUUAGGUGUAGUUAUGUGCUACCAGAUGGCAUCACUCAUAUGAAGGGCUUUGUGAAAGAUCUCGAUUAAACAAUGCGAUACUUAUCCUUGGUUGAAGAUGAAUCCCCUUCUUCCCCAUGGCGUGAGUCUAGUGACAACCCCCCGCAUAAACGAAACACUGACCCAACAAAAACAGCAGAGAUUGAUUUCUUCAUAAUGUUUAAACUCUAUCUGUUUUCAAACUUUAGCAACUUCCCUUUCUGCAGGAAUUAUCCUUUGACGAAUGAGCGGUUUCCUUGUCCCAGAGAUGAUAUUUCGGCCGACUGAUUUGGAUCGGUCAUAAUUCUCCAUAUUUUACACUCGAACUUUAGACAAGUAAUACUCGAGAUUUAGGAAUGAACAAGGCAGGACUCACGGAAUGCAUUGUUCGAGCUGUCAAUUCGUGUCAUCCUCAUCUACACCCCGUGUUAUAUGAGAGGCCAUGGAGGCGUACAAAUCGAAAUCCAUGUGAGAACACGUCACCACUAAUGAAGAGUAACAUCGAUGGUACCAGAGUCGAACCGAGGUAUACCUUGAACUUAAGUGUAGAAGGGACUAGACAUGGAUUUGUCUCCCCAAUGGAUAUGAUGAUUGUGAUUUCUUACUUUAAAUGAAGAAAUUAUUGAGAUACUUAUGGUUGUGUUUGAGAAGUGCAAAUGUCCUAUGUUGAUAUUUCAGGGAAUGAGGUGACAACUCUUGAUUUUGAAUUAUCAUAUAGUGUUUACUGCUA